UACGGGGGGGGCAAGCGUUGUUCGGAAUUACUGGGCGUAAAGGGCUCGUAGGCGGCCAACUAAGUCAGACGUGAAAUCCCCAGGCUCAACCUGGGAACUGCGUCUGAUACUGGAUGGCUUGAAUCCGGGAGAGGGAUGCAGAAUUCCAGGUGUAGCGGUGAAAUGCGUAGAUAUCAGGAGGAACACCGGUGGCGAAGGCGGGUCUCUGGGCCGAUACUGACGCUGAGGAGCGAAAGCGUGGGGAGCGAACAGG
Molecule: ribosomal RNA, 253 nt
Filed under: uncultured bacterium
Lineage: Bacteria
Description: partial 16S ribosomal RNA
Rfam family: Bacterial small subunit ribosomal RNA
Source: RNAcentral